Long non-coding RNA from Esox lucius (northern pike), 703 nucleotides. RefSeq lists it as uncharacterized. The transcript is spliced from 3 exons. NCBI's taxonomy places the organism in Eukaryota, Metazoa, Chordata, Actinopteri, Esociformes, Esocidae. The record is from RefSeq and is a predicted model, not a curated record.
UUUUUUAUUUAAAAAAGUGUAUAUAAAAUGCUGAAAGGAUACCAGGACGGGAACAUCCGAAAUUACGACCGCAGGCCAUGGCUGCCCAAACCUAUUCCUGGAUUGCUACUGUCCUGUCUGUUGUGGUAUAUGUCCCUCCUGGUCCUCUGAUCCAUGUUGAAGGCUAACGUGUGGCAGUGCCCUGUGAAGUCAAAGAUGACAUGAAUCCCAGAGAGCAGGGUCAACGUAGUAAGGCUACACUGUAAUUUUUUCGAAAUUUUACAGUAAUUUACUUUAUAUUUUGUAUGUAAUUCUCUGUAUUUCAGAAUGACAGUAACAUUAUAAAUUACACAUUAAAACCUUCAUUUAACAUUUGUCUGGUAAAAUAAUUGGAAAAGUCUGUUAUCAGAUUCACAGUUUACCAAAAAACCUGUAUAAAUACAGAGUAUUUCUGUUUUAUUAUUGAUAUCCCAGUAUGCUUUGGGGCAGUACAUUUUGUUAAUAUUUAUGUUUGUUGUAAUAAUAUGAAGGUGACCUAGCUUUGGGUUUUUUUGCCAUCUUGUUCUCUAUGUACAGUAUUAACCUUUGGAAUGUUUUUUGUGGAUUAUGGUCAUGUUUGUGUGCCAACCAUAGAAAAGAAGAUGAUUCUAUUUGGUGUGAUUUGCUGCUUUAUAUUAAAUUCUUUGGAGCUUUGACUCUUGCACAUUUCAGCCAACACCGGGUC